GAUGAACGCUGACAGAAUGCUUAACACAUGCAAGUCAACUUGAAUUUGGGUUUUUACCUUAGGUUUGGGUGGCGGACGGGUGAGUAACGCGUAAAGAACUUGCCUCACAGCUAGGGACAACAUUUGGAAACGAAUGCUAAUACCUAAUAUUAUGAUAAUAGGGCAUCCUAUAAUUAUGAAAGCUAUAAGCGCUGUGAGAGAGCUUUGCGUCCCAUUAGCUAGUUGGAGAGGUAACGGCUCACCAAGGCGAUGAUGGGUAGCCGGCCUGAGAGGGUGAUCGGCCACAAGGGGACUGAGACACGGCCCGUACUCCUACGGGAGGCAGCAGUGGGGAAUAUGGGACAAUGGACCAAGAGUCUGAUCCAGCAAUUCUGUGUGCACGAUGAAGUUUUUCGGAAUGUAAAGUGCUUUCAGUUGGGAAGAAAGAAAUGACGGUACCAACAGAAGAAGUGACGGCUAAAUACGUG
Molecule: ribosomal RNA, 467 nt
Filed under: uncultured bacterium
Lineage: Bacteria
Description: partial 16S ribosomal RNA
Rfam family: Bacterial small subunit ribosomal RNA
Source: RNAcentral